RNAcentral lists this non-coding RNA (78 nucleotides) under Nitratireductor basaltis. Lineage: Bacteria; Pseudomonadati; Pseudomonadota; Alphaproteobacteria; Hyphomicrobiales; Phyllobacteriaceae. The record is from RNAcentral.
GGCCCAUCUCGUGGUGAUUUGGCCGGUCGGCUUGCAGCCACGUUAAACAAGUCGCUAAAAGGCCGUGCAGCGUUCCUG